CCCUUAGAUGUUCUGGGCUGCACGCGUGCUACAAUGGCGCUUGCAACAAGUCUUGCCAACCCGAUAGGGUGAGCGGAUCUUUGAAGAGGCGUCGUGAUCGGGACAGUUGAUUGCAAUUAUUCGACUCGAACGAGGAAUUCCUUGUAAUCGCGAUUCAUCAUAUCGCGCUGAAUACGUCCCUGCCCUUUGUACACACCGCCCGUCGCUCCUACCGAUUGAGCGAUCCGGUGAAUGUUUUGGACUGGCGUCAGAAGCGGUUCGCUCCUGACACUACGAAAUUUUGGAAACCUUAUCGCUGAGAGGAAGGAAAAGUCGUAACA
Molecule: ribosomal RNA, 320 nt
Filed under: uncultured eukaryote
Lineage: Eukaryota
Description: partial 18S ribosomal RNA
Rfam family: Eukaryotic small subunit ribosomal RNA
Source: RNAcentral